AGCGAACGCUGGCGGCAGGCCUAACACAUGCGAGUCGAACGAACUCUUCGGAGUUAGUGGCGGACGGGUGAGUAACACGUGGGAACGUGCCUUUAGGUUCGGAAUAACUCAGGGAAACUUGUGCUAAUACCGAAUGUGCCCUUCGGGGGAAAGAUUUUUCGCCUUUAGAGCGGCCCGCGUCUGAUUAGCUAGUUGGUGAGGUAAAGGCUCACCAAGGCGACGAUCAGUAGCUGGUCUGAGAGGAUGAUCAGCCACAUUGGGACUGAGACACGGCCCAAACUCCUACGGGAGGCAGCAGUGGGGAAUCUUGCGCAAUGGGCGAAAGCCUGACGCAGCCAUGCCGCGUGAAUGAUGAAGGUCUUAGGAUUGUAAAAUUCUUUCACCGGGGACGAUAAUGACGGUACCCGGAGAAGAAGCCCCGGCUAACUUCGUG
Molecule: ribosomal RNA, 433 nt
Filed under: uncultured bacterium
Lineage: Bacteria
Description: partial 16S ribosomal RNA
Rfam family: Bacterial small subunit ribosomal RNA
Source: RNAcentral